ACUCGAGCGGCGAACGGGUGAGUAACACGUGAGUAAUCUGCCCCUGGCUUCGGGAUAGCCACCGGAAACGGUGAUUAAUACCGGAUAUGACACAUUCUCGCAUGGGUUUGUGUGGAAAGUUUUUCGGCCAGGGAUGUGCUCGCGGCCUAUCAGCUUGAUGGUGAGGUAAUGGCUCACCAUGGCUUCGACGGGUAGCCGGCCUGAGAGGGUGACCGGCCACACUGGGACUGAGACACGGCCCAGACUCCUACGGGAGGCAGCAGUGGGGAAUAUUGGACAAUGGGCGGAAGCCUGAUCCAGCAACGCCGCGUGAGGGAUGACGGCCUUCGGGUUGUAAACCUCUUUCAGUACCGACGAAGCGCAAGUGACGGUAGGUACAGAAGAAGCACCGGCCAACUACGUGCCAGCAGCCGCGGUAAUACGUAGGGUGCGAGCGUUGUCCGGAAUUAUUGGGCGUAAAGGGCUCGUAGGCGGUUUGUCGCGUCGGGAGUGAAAACGCCGUGCUUAACACGGCGCUUGCUUCCGAUACGGGCAGACUAGAGGUAUUCAGGGGAGAACGGAAUUCCUGGUGUAGCGGUGAAAUGCGCAGAUAUCAGGAGGA
This 601-nucleotide ribosomal RNA is filed under the name Nocardioides furvisabuli. RNAcentral's name for it is "bacterial SSU rRNA". It matches the Rfam family "Bacterial small subunit ribosomal RNA", at positions 89 to 705 of the family's 1533-position model. Lineage: Bacteria; Bacillati; Actinomycetota; Actinomycetes; Propionibacteriales; Nocardioidaceae. The record is from RNAcentral.